UUUUUUACAAAUCGAAAUGAUCUGAAAGUUGGAACAUGUGUUAAUAAAAAAUAGGUGAAUCUACGAAAAAUAUCAAAAAAAUAUUUUACAUAAAAUAAAUUGACCAAAAUACCCCCGAAAAGUUUCAAGAGUAUUUUGGUCAAUUUUUUUGGCUAAUUUUUUUUUUAUAUUUUUAUUAGGUGUGUCUCACUAAGAUGUACACACGUUCCAAAAUUCAGAUCAUUCCGAUUUGUAGAAAA
RNAcentral lists this microRNA precursor (239 nucleotides) under Amborella trichopoda. Its description in RNAcentral is "MIR8562 microRNA precursor family". It matches the Rfam family "MIR8562 microRNA precursor family". The record is from Rfam by way of RNAcentral. Lineage: Eukaryota; Viridiplantae; Streptophyta; Magnoliopsida; Amborellales; Amborellaceae.